GGAUUUAGAAACUCACUCAAAACCACUCAACUACAUGGAAACUGAACAACCUGCUCCUGAAUGACUACUGGGUACAUAAUGGCUCAUGGAUAGGAAGAAUCAAUAUUGCUAAAAUGGCCAUACUGCCCAAGGUAAUUUAUAGAUUCAAUGCCAUCCCCAUCAAGCUACCAACGACUUUCUUCACAGAAUUGGAAAAAACUACUUUAAAGUUCAUAUGGAACCAAAAAAGAGCCCACAUUGCCAAGUCAAUCCUAAGCCAAAAGAACAAAGCUGGAGGCAUCAUGCUA
Molecule: long non-coding RNA, 287 nt
Filed under: Homo sapiens (human)
Lineage: Eukaryota; Metazoa; Chordata; Mammalia; Primates; Hominidae
Description: non-protein coding lnc-SLC25A28-4:1
Source: RNAcentral